Molecule: ribosomal RNA, 331 nt
Filed under: uncultured bacterium
Lineage: Bacteria
Description: bacterial SSU rRNA
Rfam family: Bacterial small subunit ribosomal RNA
Source: RNAcentral
CGCGUAGGCGGCGGACCUUGUCGAGUGUGAAAGCCCCGGGCUCAACCUGGGAGGUGCGCCCGAGACGGGUUUGCUGGAGUUCGGGAGAGGAGAGUGGAAUUCCCAGUGUAGAGGUGAAAUUCGUAGAUAUUGGGAAGAACACCGGUGGCGAAGGCGGCUCUCUGGACCGAGACUGACGCUGAGGCGCGAAAGCGUGGGGAGCAAACAGGAUUAGAUACCCUGGUAGUCCACGCUGUAAACGAUGUGUGCUAGACGUUGGGGAGCGCAGCUCUUCGGUGUCGCCGCAAACGCUUUAAGCACACCGCCUGGGGAGUACGGCCGCAAGGUUAAA